RNAcentral lists this ribosomal RNA (241 nucleotides) under Granulicatella adiacens. Its description in RNAcentral is "partial 16S ribosomal RNA". It matches the Rfam family "Bacterial small subunit ribosomal RNA", at positions 139 to 355 of the family's 1533-position model. The record is from RNAcentral. Lineage: Bacteria; Bacillati; Bacillota; Bacilli; Lactobacillales; Carnobacteriaceae.
UGGUAUACAUUCCGAACGGAUGCUAAACCGCAUAGGUCCUUUAACCGCAUGGUUGAAGGAGGAAAAGAGGCGCAAGCUUCUGCUGAUGGAUGGACCCGCGGUGCAUUAGCUAGUUGGUGAGGUAACGGCUCACCAAGGCCGUGAUGCAUAGCCGACCUGAGAGGGUGAUCGGCCACAUUGGGACUGAGACACGGCCCAAACCUCCUACGGGAGGCAGCAAUCACUAGUGAAGUCCGCAGCA